This 8106-nucleotide long non-coding RNA is filed under the name Panax ginseng (ginseng). RNAcentral's name for it is "long non-coding RNA (PGIN_LNC003252)". The record is from RNAcentral. Lineage: Eukaryota; Viridiplantae; Streptophyta; Magnoliopsida; Apiales; Araliaceae.
UAGGGUAUACCUGAGCUAUAACCACCUGUGGGAGUAUCACAGGCAUGUCCUCUUGGCACCGCGGCAUGACACCUUCCGUGGCGGUGUGAUCAGUCCACGGCGUCUCCGUUUUGUGCUCCGUUGGGAGUUGGCCAUUUGGUGUUUUGUUGUGGGAGGCGUAUGGGUCGACCCUAGUUUUCUGUUCUGUGGAUUGGUGAUGUUUGUGCCAAACACGCCUUCCGAUUUUAUAUGCAUUGGAUUCACGGUCCAAUGUGUGUGACUUGCCUGUGUGACAUUAUUUGAUUUGCCUAUGUGGCAUUAUUUGACUUGCCUGUGUGGCAAGGUAUAUUUCUAUUUUAUUCUGAGCUCGGUAUGAAAUAACACCCAGCCAUUUGAUUCAGCCUAUUAUUUCGUUGUGUUAGAUUUGUUCGUUUCGUUUCAGUUCGUUUCGUCUCUUUUCAUUUAAUUGAGUUAGUUAUUUCGGUUCAUUAUUUGUAUUCUAUAUCCGUACUGGGCGUUUGACUCAUGCUGUGUUUUCUUCCGGCAGGUAAUCAGGGGAAUCACGGGCAAGUGUGAUGAGAGCUCCAUUCAUUCCAAUGAUUUAGAAAUAUUCUAUUUAGACUUGAUGUGUCAGUUUACUUGGAAUUGUAAUAACUAUUUUAGAUUGUGGUUUGAGACAGUUGGAGAUUUAUUAUGGUUGACUUGUGGUAUUUAUCAGUUAUUAAGACUAUUUUUUUGUGGCUUUGAGCUUUGCUAUUAAAUUCAUUAGUUUUGUUGUGUUUUGAGUAACCUCUCUUUCUAUUUCGGAAAGGGGGUGUUAUAGUGGGAGAGAAAAUAAGCUUUUCUUUGUAAUUGAAUUGGCAAAUUAAAAAUGAAAGGAAAGCCUCCUAUUUAUAGAUUUUUGAGAUCAGGGACAGAAAAGUAAUUUUCAAAAUUUGAUUUAAAAUUAAUGGUUGAGAUGAUCAAUUUUGAAAUGAACGGUUCGGAUAAAAAAAAAUUCACGCGGUAGAAGCUUGAAUUCCGCCCAGGCAUUUCUUCAUCAACUUUGCAUUUAAUGAUCAAUUUGAAUCCCAGCAUUUAUUUCGGUCAAGGAGGUUGAAUGAAGAAGGAGCACGCGUUUUUAGGAAAUAAAAAUUGUCAGCACACUUUUUCUUUAUAUCAAUCAUUUAUGCCAUUAUACUUAAAUUAUACACAUAUGAGUCAUGCAAUUUAAUGCACACGGUUUUUAAAAAACAAACUUGCCAGCAAUUGCUAGCUCAUGCUUUGAAAAAGGAAAGCCUGCUUGGUAUUAUACAUAUAUAUAAUAUAUAUAAAAUACAUAUAUAAUCCGCUAGAGUUGCUGGGAGGAGAGGUAACAAUAGGGGAAGGGGUGAUGUUCAGCCCAAUGAGCAACCUAAUGAUCAGAUAAAUGCUCAACUAGUUAACUUGGUGAAUCAGGCGGUUAAUCAGGCUUUACCGCAGUUAGUGGCACAGGUUGUACAGGCAAUGUAACAGCCGCCAGAAAUUCCUGAGCAGGGGCACUCGGGAAAUAAUGGUCCACAAACAAACGAAGAGGAAGGAAAUGUGGAUGGCCUUGAUCAGCAGGUGGUCCCAAUGUAUAUGUGGUUGGAGAGGUUUCAGAAGCAGAAGCCACAGUCUUUCAGUUCUGCUCAACUCCAAUUGAUGCGGAAAAUUGGAUUGCUCACCUAGAGAAGAUUUUUGAUGUGUUGGGAUGCUCAGAUAAUCAAAGAGUGUUGCUUGCUGCUUACAAGCUAGAGGGGGAUGCACAGAGGUGGUGGAAAGCACUGAAGACAACAAAGGGUGAUGGCUACGUGGAGACACUUCAUUGGGCAUAGUUUUGUGAGGUCUUUUAUCAGCAGUACUUUCCAGCUGCUGAUAAAGAGGCCUAUGCUAGAGAGUAUCUAUCCAUUCGGCAGAAGGAUGAUGAGUCCAUUACCGAUUCCAUGACCAAGUUCACCAGGUUGGCAGGUUUUGCGGGAACGUCUGCAGGGACUACAGCAAAACAGGCGGAGAAGUUCAAGUGGCGGAUUCAUUAUAGGUAUCCCCAACAUCUCAUUAACACCAAGUUUGCGGAUGUAUCGCCGGUGGCUAAUGAGGCCAAGAACAUUGAGAUGGAGCGGCAGGACUUUCGGACUUCUAAACCGGAAGGGAGUCGAAAGAGGGACAGAGAUGACCAGCAGGGUCAAGCUUCGGGUCAGCAUGGGAGAAAUCAAGGUGGUCAGUGGAACAGAAAUUGUGGUGUUCAGCAGGGGAAGUGGCGUGGUCAGAAUCAGAACAGGGGUUAUCAGCAGAUGCCUCAGCUAGUGCAGAAUCGUCAGCUUCAGUUACCUUGGUAUGGACAAAAUCUUCAGCAGGGACAGAAUCGUCCGCAGGGGCAAAAUCAGGGUCGUUACCCAGGACCAGCUGGUGGGGGUAACCCGAAUCUUAUUCCGAUAGCUUCUUGUGUUACUUGUGGGGCUAAUCAUCCGGAGAGGCAGUGCCACAGACUCACCGGUGCAUGCUUCUUGUGUGGACAGAUGGGUCACAUUGCUAGGGAUUGUACCGGUCCACGCGGAAAUGGUGGAGGUGGUGAUAAUGGUGGCAAUGGAGGUCAACGUCAGGGUGGUCGAGUGUUUUCCUUGACGUAUAACCAGGCGGCAGGUGCACCAGGUACUAUUUCUGGUACUCUUUUAGUUGGAAAUCGUGAGGCGUCUAUUUUGUUUGAUACGGGUUCUACUCAUUCUGUUGUUGCUCAGUCUUUUGUUCGGCACCUGGGUGUGCCAUCUCAGUCUUUGGAUUCUGUUAUGUCUAUUGCUACCCCGAUGGGGACUUUAGUUGUUAUUUCUGAUUUAUAUCGAGGGUGUCCGAUCAGUUUUAGGGAUAAGAUUCGUAGGGUUAAUCUCCUUCUGAUGUGUAUGCACGAUUUCGAUAUCAUUCUUGGGAUGGACUGGUUGGAUAAGCACCGUGCCACUAUCGAUUUUCAGGCGAAGAAGGUUAUAUUUGGAGAUGUGAAGUCUCUGGAGUUCGUGUUUCAGGGUUCACAAUCGAGUAGGGUGUUGAAGUUGAUUUCAGCUUUGAAGGCUGGGAAGUUGGUAGCAAAGGGUUGUGAGGGGUAUUUGGCAUUUGUGAAGGAUACCUCUAAGGGUGAGUCUCAUAUUGAGGAUGUUCCAAUUGUUUGUGACUUUUCAGAUGUGUUUCCUGAGGAGUUGUCAGGGUUGCCACCACAGCGGGAAGUAGAGUUUGCUAUUGAGCUUGUUCCUGGUGCAGAGCCUUUUUCUAAGGCGCCGUAUCGGAUGGCACCAUUGGAGUUGCAGGAGUUGAAGGAGCAGUUGCAAGAACUGUUGGAUCGUGGUGUAAUUCGCCCGAGUGUUUCACCGUGGGGUGCUCCAGUCUUGUUUGUGAAGAAGAAGGAUGGGUCUAUGAGGCUGUGUAUAGAUUACAGAGAGUUGAAAAAGAUUACCAUCAGAAAUCGGUAUCCAUUGCCGAGGAUUGAGGACUUGUUUGACCAACUUCAGGGGGCGAAAUAUUUUUCAAAAAUAGACUUGAGGUCGGGCUAUCAUCAGUUGAGGGUGAGGGAUGAGGAUAUCCCUAAGACGGCUUUUCGUACUCGAUAUGGGCAUUACGAGUUUCUGGUGAUGCCAUUUGGGUUGACUAACGCUCCGGCAAUGUUUAUGGAUUUGAUGAAUCGAGUGUUUAGGGAGUACUUGGACAAUUUUGUUAUUGUUUUUAUUGAUGACAUUUUGGUUUACUCCAAGUCUAAGGAAGAGCAUGAGGAGCAUCUUCGCAUAGUGUUGGGGAUUUUGCAGAAAGAGAAGUUGUAUGCUAAAUUCUCUAAAUGCGAAUUCUGGUUGGAGCAGGUUGCAUUUUUGGGCCACGUUGUUUCUGCUGAGGGCAUUAAGGUGGAUCCUGCGAAGGUUGAGGCUAUCACUAAAUGGCCGAGACCUACUACAGUGACAGAGAUUAGAAGUUUCUUGGGUUUGGCAGGGUAUUAUAGGCGGUUUGUGGAAGGAUUUUCCUUACUUGUCUUGCCAUUGACUUAGUUGAUGAGAAAGGGCGUGAAGUUUGUGUGGAAUGAGGAGCGGGAGAAGAGUUUCGAGGAAUUGAAGAAACGACUCGUGACAGCUCCUAUACUUGCAUUGUCGUCGGGGAUAGAAGGGUACCAGAUUUAUAGUGAUGCUUCUAAGAAGGGCUUGGGGUGUGUUUUGAUGCAACACGGUAAGGUGAUUGCUUAUGCUUCUAGGCAGCUUAAACCUUAUGAGGUGAACUACCCCUCACAUGAUUUGGAGUUGGCAGCGGUGAUCUUUGCCUUAAAGAUUUGGAGGAAUUAUUUGUAUGGGGAGACUUGUGAUAUCUUCACCGAUCACAAAAGUCUUAAAUACAUUUUCACUCAGAAGGAGCUCAAUAUGAGACAAAGGCGUUGGUUGGAGCUUCUAAAAGACUAUGAUGCUAGAAUUCAGUAUCACCCGAGAAAGGCAAAUGUGGUUGCAGAUGCUCUUAGCAGAAAGAGUUUUGGGAAUGUAGCAGCCCUUAUUACACAACCUCAGCUUAUCUCGGAUAUGGAGAGGAUCGAGUUGGAGUUGUAUGUACGAAGUUCAGAUGGGCAUUUGGCAGGUAUGAGAGUGGAGCCCUCUCUUAUCUCGCGGGUCAAAGAAGCUCAAAAGGAAGAUGGGGAGUUAUGGGGUCUGACGCAGAAUUUAGAGGAGGGCAAGUAGCCCGAGUUUCGUAUUGAUGACCACGGUGUGAUUUGGUUGGGUGAGCGGUUGUGUGUACCGUCAGAUCCAAUCAUUUGAGAGGCUGUGUUGGCUGAGGCUCAUAGUUUGCUAUUUUCUAUUCAUCCAGGUUCUACGAAGAUGUAUAGGGAUUUGAAGAAGAAUUUUUGGUGGAAUGGGAUGAAACGAGAUGUGGCUGAGUAUGUUGGGAAGUGCCUCACUUGUCAGCAAGUGAAGAUAGAACAUCAACGAGCUAGUGGCUUGUUGCAACAGUUAGACAUUCCAGUGUGGAAGUGGGAGGAUAUCACGAUGGAUUUUGUGACGGGUUUGCCGAAGACUUUCAGGAAGAAUGAUGCCAUAUGGGUGGUGGUGGACCGGUUGACCAAAUCGGCACACUUUUUGGCUAUCCAUGAGGGUUACUCGAUGGAUAGAUUGGCACAUAUCUUUCAACAGGAGAUUAUUAAACUUCAUGGUACUCCGGUGUCUAUUGUUUCAGAUCGGGACCCACGGUUCACUUCAAGGUUUUGGAAAGGGUUUCAACGAGCUUGGGGCACUCGGCUCAACUUCAGUACUUCUUUCCAUCCGCAAACUGAUGGGCAAUCCGAGAGGACUAUUCAGACAUUAGAGGAUAUGUUGAGGUCUUGUGCACUUGAGUGGUCGGGUAAUUGGGAUGAUUACUUGAGCCUAGUUGAGUUUGCUUACAACAACAGCUGGCAUGCAAGUAUUGGAAUGGCUCCGUUUGAGGCAUUGUAUGGUAGGAAAUGUCGGGCACCAACUUGUUGGGAUGAGGUUGGAGAAAGGGCUAUAGAAGGGCCUGAGUUAGUCCAAAUCACUAUGGAGAAGGUAGUGGUGGCUAAAGAGAAAUUGAAGUCGGCUCGAUCACGACAGAAGUGUUAUGCUGAUAAGCAUAGGAGGACUUUAGAGUUUGAACCUAGUGAGCAUGUGUUUCUAAAAGUUUCUCCUUGGAAGGGCAUUCGGCGAUUCGGGUUGAAAGGGAAGCUUAGUCCGCGAUAUAUUGGUCCAUUUGAGAUUUUGGAGAGGGUUGGUGAAGUUGCGUAUCGAUUAGCUUUACCUCCGCAGCUAGCUCAUGUGCACAAUGUGUUCCAUGUGUCGGUGUUGAGAAGUUACAAUUAUCAUCCGUUGCACGUGGUGCAAUAUCCAUUCGAUAAGAUUCGAGAGGAUCUUACUUGUGAGGAACAAGCCGAGGCGAUUUUGGAUCGUCAAGAGAGAAUUAUGAGGAGGAAGACUAUUCCGUUUGUUAAAGUUUUAUGGAGAAAUUAUUCGGAGCGGGAGGCUACAUGGGAGAUGGAGGAGUCUAUUCGAGCGGAGUAUCCGCAUCUCUUUGAAAAUUAGGUGCGUUCCAUCUUUUGAUUCCGGGGACGGAAUCCUUUUAAGGGGUAGGUGAUGUAAUACCCGGAAAAAAAUAAUAAUAAUAAUAAAUAAAUAUUAAAAAAAAUGUUGUUUUAAAACAUAUUAAUUAGACUUUGUCAUUUAUUUUGGGUCAAAUUAGUCAUUUAAUUUGUGUGGGCUAAUAAAUAUUAAUAAGAGAUGAGUAAAUUAAUUUAGUACAAUUUGGUCCUUAAAAUUUAUUUUGAUUUAAUUUAAUUAAAUGUGGGUAAUAUUAAUUUUAUUAUAAUUAGGAGAAUAAAUAAAAUAAUUAAUAAAUAAAUAGUUACUAAAACCUAAUCAUACAUGCACUACAAAUCAGAAAAGAAAAGAAUAGAGGUCGGCGGCUGCGCAGUGAAUAGAGAAGAACCAAUUUUAUUUUUUAUCAGGUUUGUUUUUUUGUUUUUCUUUCUUUUACUACUUUCGGCUAUAUAAUUUUUGUGGCGAUUUGCUUUGUAGACAUGAAUUGUGAUGGCAGUCAAAGUUUCUGAUGUUUAUAUAUACUUUUACUAUUUCUGGCGUUAUAUAUAUAUAUAUAUAUAUAUAUAUAUAUAUAUAUAUAUAUAUAUAUAAAAGAUUGGCUGCAGGUGUUAAUAUAUAUAUAUAGGCAUAUUACCAAGUUGCUGCAUAAUUACGUUAUUAUAUAUAUAGAUAUAUUAGGAGAUUGCAAUCUUGCAGCGUUGCUGCAGGCAAUGUUUUCAAUUUUUAUUUUAUUAUAUAUAUAUAUAUAUAUAUAUUAUAUUUUAAUAAAUAUUUAGCCAUGAAAUUUAUAAUUCAAAAUUGGUAAAUCAAAUUGAAGUUAUGUAUAUUAAUUUAAAUUAAUUAAUUUUGCCGGCAUAAUUAUAAAAGUUCUUAUUAAAAAAUUAAAUAAUAUUAUGUUUGUAACGACUAGAUUUGUAAUAAAAUUUAUUUUAUUAUUCUAUUAUUAGAUCGGACGGAAGGAAUUUAAUGAACUAUAUUGGAAUAAUAAUUUUGGGUAUUACAUUGCUUAAUCCAGGUACGGAUUCCGUACUUUUCCAGCAAGACUCUUUUGUUUUUAAUUCGUUCGUUUCGUUAUUCAUUUCGAAAUCUAGUAUUGUCUCUCAUAAUUGUUCCUUGUCAAUUUAUUGUGAUAAAUUUAUUUUGGCGUUGUAUUAGAACUCACAUUGUACUCUUUAGACUAGUGUGUCAUGUCUAAAUUUUAUUUUUAUAUUUAUAGUGAUGUACAUGUUAGUAUAUUUUAGAGACUUGUGUUGACGAUUCGUUCGAUUUAACAUGUACAUGUUAGAACCCCUUUGUGUUGAUAUUUUGUCGCAUGUGUUGUGACAUUAUAUUUUGUUAGAAUACCGUAGGGUAUACCUGAGCUAUAACCACCUGUGGGGGUACCACAGGCAUGUCCUCUUGGCACCGAGGCAUGACACCUUCCGUGGCGGUGUGAUCAGUCCACGGCGUCUCCGUUUUGUGCUCCGGUGGGAGUUGGCCAUUUGGUGUUUUGUUGUGGGAGGCGUAUGGGUCGACCCUAGUUUUCUGUUCUGUUCUGUUCUGCGGAUUGGUGAUGUUUGUGCCAAACACGCCUUCCGAUUUUGCACGCAUCUGGAUUGCGCAGUCCGAUGUGUGAUUGCCUGUGUGGCAUUAUUUGACUUGCCUGUGUGGCAAGGUAUAUUACUAUUUAUUCUGAGCUCGGUAUGAAAUAACACCCAGCCAUCUGAUUCAGCCUAUUAUUUCGUUGUGUUAGUUUUGUUCGUUUCGUUUCAGUUCGUUCGUUUCAUUUCAUUUAAUUGAGUUAGUUAUUUCGGUUCAUUAGUUGUAUUCUAUAUCCGUACUGGGCAUUUGGCUCAUGCUGUGUUUUUCUUUCGGCAGGUAAUCAGGGGAAUCAAGGGCAAGUGUGAUGAGAGCUCCAUUCAUUCCAAUCAUUUAUAGAUAUUCUGUUUAGACUUGAUGUGUCAGUUUACUUAGAAUUGUAAUAAUUAUUUUCGAUUGUGGUUUGAGACAGUUUGAGAUUUAUUAUGGUUGACUGGUGGUAUUAUCAGUUAUUAAGACUAUUCUUUUGUGGCUUUGAACCUUGCUAUUAAAU